This is a long non-coding RNA of Hemicordylus capensis (graceful crag lizard), 6128 nucleotides long. RefSeq lists it as uncharacterized. The transcript is spliced from 4 exons. The record is from RefSeq and is a predicted model, not a curated record. Lineage: Eukaryota; Metazoa; Chordata; Lepidosauria; Squamata; Cordylidae.
CCCAGUUAAGGGCCGGCCUUAAAAGUUGGGCUAGCAGGGGCAAGGGUCUGGAUCGGGAGCUUGACACAAGCAGCCCAUCCCAGGCUAGGCUGCCCUAGCCUGGAUUGGGCUGCUCGUGUGAAUAGCCUCACUGUAUCAUUUUUAGUAGCUUCAUCAAGGCCUCUUAAAAUGCUAACACUGCUAUUCUAAAAAGUAUAACUUUUUGUUGGAGAAAAUAUCUCUUAAUUAUUUGUUAAAAAUUUUUUACAGUGCAAGACAUGUAUGAGGCAUUAAUUUUAAUGUUACUGUUCUUUUGUAUUAGAUGAGAAUCUGAUAAUUCAAAUAUUUGCUAUUCUGCCAGUGUAUAAGCUCUUGGAACUGAGAGUGUCAACAGCUGCACAUUGUAAAAUGUGUUCUCCCCCUGCCCCAGCACCAUGUGUGGAUUUGACAGCAAAACUUUCAGUAUCCAAGCACGAACAGUUGAAACAAAGUGCGAAAAUUCUUAAUGGAAUUAUGUAUUUAGAGAAACAGCAGAAAAUGCCUUGUCCAUGGACCUGAAGAAAAGCUUCAUUUAUCUGGAUGGUCUGCUGGAUUUAAAAAAAAAUAAAUGUUGACAUAAGGAGGGGGCGCAGAUGACAAAGGCAGGAGGAUGGUGGCUGCUGAGAAAGGAAAGACUUAAACCAGCCCAGGGAUUGGACCUCCUUGAGUUGUGCUCCUCCCCUGCUCAGCAAUUCAAUGCAGAGUUGGGAAGGAGCAGGAAGGAACCAUGAAGGAGAGCUGGAAAGGAAAGACAAACAACCCUUAUCUGUUUUUUCUGUGAAUGUGAUUUCUUCCCUCAGAAGCCAAUGUGCGUUUUUCUCCUUCCCACAUUCGUGAACUGUGUGUGUGUGUGUGUGAGUGUGUGUGAGAGAGAGAGAGAUCCCAUCCCCAACUGAAAGCCUCCCUUGGUGUGUCUCUUCCCUAUCUCCAAGCCCUUGUUUGUGCUUGUGUGAGAGAUUUUUAACCUUUUAAAAAUGAUUUAAAAUGACUGAGUUCUUUCCAGUAAGUCCUGACCCAUGUGAUUGUCCCCUUGGAACUUGCAAUGAGGAGUUCUCUGUAGAAGGGAAAGCAGAAAGUAAGAGAGUGAGUGAGUGGGGUGGAGUUUAUUGGCUGGCCAGUGGUGGUCGUGCUGGUGGUUGUUCAAUCUAUAUGCAAUUGUUUUUCAACCAAAUAAGUUCUCAGAAUGGUAUACAUAGCGGAGAGAGAUUUUUAAACUUAAAAAAAAUUCGAAGCAGCACAACAAGGUGCCAAAUGUAAGCCAAAACUAUUCUAAUACAAACUUGUAAUGAAGCCUCCCCACCACAAUAGUAUACCUUCUUGUGAGGAAAUUUGUCACUACAAAAAGUAUUAAAAGCUUUAAAAAUAAUAAGAGGGAAGAAAAAUGCUCUGACAACAUAGAUCUUUUUCUGUUUUUCCCUGCCUUUUGGUUUAUUAAGUGCUGGUUGUUGGGCUUGAAAACUGCUUGUAGCCUUAAUCUGGUGGGGUGUGUGUGUGUGUGAGAGAGAGAGAGAGAGAGAGAGCGCGCGCACAAUUGGGCAAAUAGGGAUAGGAACAUUGCUAGGAGUUGUAUGCAUGCAUAUAUCAGGUCUCAGUAGUAGGCAUAUGUUAAAAAUGUUUCUGAGCUAAGGGAAUAUGUAUGCACAAGUAUGUGUAUGAAAGUGUAUGCAUAUAUGAAGAGAGUGUAAUAUUAUAUGCAUGGAAGGGAAAGAAAGGGCAUGCUAAGAAUCUUGUUUUCAUCAUGUCCUUGCAUUUUUUCUGCAAAAAUAUAUAUGGGGGAGGGGGAAAACAAAGAAGACGGGGAGCAAGCGGGCCCAUCUUCACUUUUUGUCCCUAGGCCCACUCCCACCUUGCUACGCCCAAGAUGCCAGUGAUGUCCCCACAUUAUCCAUUCAUGGAAGGCACCACUUGACAUGGGCCAGUGGCCAAAUGAGCCCAUGACAACACCCAGUCGAGUAUAUGCAUUGCACAUCUAACCACUAGGUAGCCAGCAAGACACCACAGCACCUUCAUGUGCACAAGCUGGCCAAGCACUGUGGCCUGCACAAAAAGCCAAGAGGCUUCCCAAGGAAAAGGUUCCGCUGCUUUGAGAGCAGUGCUUAUGUAACAGUCCACACGGGUUGCUGUGUCUGAGAGGUAUCUGCAUUUUUCUGGGGAGAAGGAGGAGAGCCACCUGUAAAGGGAAGCAUGGAAACUCUAGCAGCAAAGGGAUAGUGUAGCUGACUGGGGAAGGGCAACGCAAAGGGAAAAGGUUGAGUCUCAGUCCAGAGAGAGGGGAAUGUGGCCUCCACUAGACACAACCCACCUUUUGGGGUCUUGCUGACAACAGUAUUUUCAGAUGAGGCAACAGGACAGGCUUCCAAACCCCACUCCAACCACACAGCCCCUGGAAAGGACCUGAUGGAAGGGAGGCCUAGAAAAGUGUGUUUACAGUCCCCCAGGGGGCAAGCCUAUUACAUGUUCCCCUUUUCCUGCCCCAUGCAUAAUGGUGCUGCCAGCCAUAGUGCUAGACCCCAAGAGGCCCCCUGUGAAAAAAGCACAGCUGUAGCAUACAGAAGGUCCUAAGCUCACGCCCUAGCCACAGUCUGGUGAGGAAAAGGGCUGGGAAGAGAAGUGCACUGGCUGUGCAGUAGCCAGUCAAUAUGGCUAGGAGCCCUCCAACAGCCUCCUUUCCCAUCAUCGUCUCUGGUCUGUCCUUGUGUUGGGAUGCCUUUCCUUUUAAACCGACACCUCCAUCCUAUCCCGCCAUGCUGCUCUCACGUUGAUUAGGAUGCUUGCCAGAGUCUGCUGGUUACUGUCUCAGGAUACCAUAUCACGCUCUGGCUCCACUCCAUGCCUCCCACCUGCUGGCUUUAUUGUCACACCAGAUGUAGCUGAGGGGAUCAGAGCUAAGAGAAGACAGAGCUCCUGGAAAUGCCACCCACCCCACGGCUUGUGUUCUGGCGGGAAAGCCUCGACUGCUGUGCGAAAUAGUUGUGAUGAAGCCACUGCAUGCAUCUCCACCUGCCUGAGGCUGAGUAUGCCACCAUGGAGACAGCUGAGGGCCCCUAUACUAUUGAAAGCUACAUAACAGACAAGGAACCAAGAGGUACUGCUUUCCCCAUCACUGCGUAUUCAUCCUAGGAAGAGGUGGCAGCAAACUUGAACUAUGACUUGUGCUAUACCAAGCGUUCCCAGCUCUUCAUCCCCAGAUAUUGUUGGACUACAACUCUCAUCAUCCCCAGCCUUUGAACAUUGGGACUGGGGAUGAUGUGAGUUGUAGUCCAAUAAUAUCUGGGGACCCAAUCCCAAGAACCCCUGACCUGUGGCCAUUCCCUUUUCAGGAUUUUAGCCUCACAUUUAAAGGUGAUAAAGGCCAGGCAAACUUUCUGUCCUAAACUCUAAGCAGCAAGCUUUCCCACCAGUUCUGUUGAUGAUUUGUAGAUUAGACUGUCUGUCUUAUCUGUCUCUCUCUCUCUCUCUCUUCCACUGAGCUAUCAGGAGCAUCGUGCUCAUGCCUAACCCACAGCAACCAAGUCUAAACCUCAGUUAAUUAAAUCCUCUGUGCCUUCCCAUGUUUUGAUGUUUAAACUUGUGAUUUGCAAGCUGCUUGUAUGGCACAGCGGGGAAAUAACUUGCCUAGCAAGCCAGAGGUUGCUGGUUCGAAUCCUUGCUGGUAUGUUUCCCAGACUAUGGGAAACACCUAUAUUGGGCAGCAGCGAUAAUAGGAAGAUGCUGAAAGGCAUCAUCUCUCUGCCCAGGAGAUGACAGUGGGAAACCCCUCCUACCAAAGAAAGCCACAUGGCUCUGUGGUUGCCAGGAGUCAACACCGAUUCGAUGGUGCAACUUUUCUUUAAACAGGCAUAGCUUGGAGCUGAUAGAUCUCUGACCUAUUAUUAGAUCCCCUUGUCUUUACUGGAGGGACUAACUAACCAAAAGGCAAGAGGAGAGGUCCUUUAUAUGGGCAGCUCUGUAUACCCACAUAACUACUUGAAAAGAAUGCCAAUGGGGUUUUUAAUAAAGAAAAUAUUGCAUCAAUAGCAUUGUAAAACUGCUAAUUAGUGCAUUGCUUACUGUGAGGAAAGUAGUACUAGGAUAAGGAAGUUACACUUGAGCACCUUCCUGCAACAGGAUUUCCUCAAGACUAUCUCACGUAGAGCACUUGGCUUGCUGCUCCCUCAGUAUACCUGUGGAGGGAACCCUCUUUGGCACUUAAUGUUCAGGAUCUCGCUCCAAACCUGCCUUAUCAUGAUCCCCGCUUCAUUUUCCACUUAAGUAAUAGUUGCACAGUGGCCAGUAAUUCCUUCCCACUGCUCUGUAAUGGUGUAGAAAAGGACAGCGGCAUCUCCAUUGUAGCAAGAAGGGUUCUCCCAGGGCAUCAAAUUUUAAUUAGAAACAAUCAGGCAGUCUUGAAAUGGGAACGGCAAGCAGCAGAAGUCAAAUCAUCAAUAAAAUAUUCAAUGGCAGAAAUGUAUUAUUGACGCAGUCUCUUGAGCAUAGCUUUAAAAAACACUGAAAGGCACAGGGCUGUAGAUACAGAGAUGUUCUUCUGCCCAUUUGCCCUUAGAGGCACAGAAACUGUUAAACGAGAGCAUAUGUCCAGCAUUCAUUGGCUUUCAGGAAUAAUAACUAUUCAUCUGGCCCAGUACCGGUGAUGAUGUGGAGGCCAGAGAUUGGUGAGGCCAAGAAUAGCACUUUUAAAUAACUAUUGGAAUGUAACAAGCAGCACAAGUCUGAAGAAACACGGAGCUCAUCUCUACAUAAAUAGCAACACCCAGUGGCUUCAAGUUGCUUGGGAUAAAGAAGUCGGAGAGUCCUUUCUCUCUGCAAAGGCACCUCUUGUCAGGAGCAAGAUAAUACUAUCAGUGCCAUAGAGAACUCUUGGAGUAGGUUGCUUGUCCAGGACUGUUUGUUGUGUCUUUGUAUGCUUCAUUGAAGAGAUGGAGUAUCAUUCACAAGAGAAAGCAGCAGCAGCGAGGCACAUGCACACAAAAUCAAUCUCUUCUCUUCCACAAAUAAAUAUGAUCUUUCGCAUGCUGAAACAGGGGUUAAAGAUCUUCUGUUCUGAAUGUUAGGUUUGUGAAUUGAAGAGCCUUAACACAGACUCUCCUCAUAAGCAGAUAGAAAGAUAGUGGUUCUCCAAUUAAGUUACAAGUGGUGAUGAAUAACUUCUGCAUGUGCCUUAUGAGCCCCUGGUGGCUCAGUGGUAAAAACUGCCGCCCUGUAACCAGAAGGUUACAAGUUCGAUCCUGACCAGGGGCUCAAGGUUGACUCAGCCUUCCAUCCUUCCGAGGUCGGUAAAAUGAGUACCCAGAAUGUUGGGGGCAAUAUGCUAAAAUCAUUGUAAACCACUUAGAGAGCUCUGGCUAUAAAGCGGUAUAUAAAUGUAAGUGCUAUUGCUAUUGCUAUGUUAUACCACUCUGUGGGCGAAAGAGGGAAACCAAGAGGGUGUUGACACACGCAGUCUUACCCAGGCUAGGGCAGCCCAGGUCGCUCCCAGCGCUGCCCCCGUGCCAAGCCUGAGUUUUUAACCUGGUGUUUAGCUGGGGUUAAGUGAACCUAUGGAUCACUUAACCUCGGCUGGUGAUCAUCUGGGCGACCGCUGCCAAGUUAAGUGGCAUCCCUCCAGCUUGCUGCCAUUUUCAGCAGCAAGCCAGAAGGAAGGAACAUCCGUGCUGAGCACAGCAGCUGCUCUAACUAGCGCAGCCGCCAUGCUCAUGCCCCAGUGCAUCCUGGGAGGGGGAAAGUCCUCCUGCUCCCAGCAUCUCCCUCUGCCACAUCACUGCUCGUGUGGGCAUGUGCUGCAUGGUGUGGCUGCUGGUUGUUUGCCGGAGAAGGCAGGUGAGCUCCUCCUUUCCUCGCAUCCUUCCCCCUCCCCCCCGCCCAGUGAGGUCAUGUGAAACCUCAAAUUGUGUCUUAUUGGUAUUCUUAGAUGCUUCCAUGGGCCACUAUUUACACAAAAUGAGUAUACAGUGACCGCAUUGCUUUUGAGUAUAUAUUUUGUGGAGCUUGCAAUUAUCUAUUUGGCACUUAUUUUCUUCUUCACCAGUUUGGUGUGGUUGGUGAUUGUGUAGGUUUGUUAGUAAUAUGUUUGAUUUGCAUGCAGAUCCUGUAAUUAAAAUGCUUAACUUGCU